GUAGCCACUCUUUUUCCCUUUCCUUUACUUUCUUAAUAAACUUGCUUUCUCACUUUACUCUACGGACUUGCUUUGAUUUCUUUCUUGUGUGAGAUCUGAGAACCCUCUCUUGGGGUCUGGAUCCGGACUCCUUUCUGGUAACAUCUUCCUGGCCACCAUGAAGCGACUAUACUGAAGAGACUUCUGACCCAAAGAAAAAGACUGCAGCACCAAUUGGCCAACUCUGGAUAUGUGGUGGGGCGCUCAACAAACACUCAAGUAACCCAUCAGGCCCAGUUUUUGGAGAAGCCUGGGACUCACCUUGAGGGAAAGGAUGUCCUCUGCGCGGAUGACGAACUCGUCCUGCUCACGGAAAAUGCCCUCUCCGCCACUCUCGUCAGCCUUCUAGUCCGUCUCUCCACACACGGCCGCCGUCUCCUGCUUCUUGGCCAGGUGCAGAGGCCAGGGGUACCUUAGGAUGAAGCACAACUCCAGCCUGGGCAACACAGCAAAAAACUCCAUCUCAAAAAGAAGAAAGAGAGAAAGAGAAAAAAAGAAAGAAAAGAGAAAGACAGUGGUUAGAAAGAAAAGAGAAAGACAGUGGGUCAGAGGUCCCCCUCAGUAACAUCCCUCUUGGUUAGAAAUGGAUUUGGCACUAUGAAAUGUUAACUGCUAUUCUCUGGAUUAAUCUGCCUUGCACUGUUUGCUGAUGGCUACAGGUGACUGGAUUAGGCAUGUACAGGAUCUUGGAACAUGGGGAACUUUUUUCUCCCCAGAGGGGGCAACUUGAGAGCUGAUGGGACUGCUGGAAAAGAUCCCUUUGUGACUGACAAGUACCUGCCUGAACUUUUGAUUCAGUGUUGCUGCAAUGGGUGGGUAUUCCUCUGGUCUCCCUGAGCUCCCCGCUUCCCCACCCUGCCUCAGACCAGGCUUCUCUCUCUUACUCUCUCUUUCUCUCCUUUUCUUUUCCUAUCGUUUCUGUUACUUGAGACUACCUGCUCUUCCAUCUUGCCCAGAGACCACAUGUUGAAAUUCCGGGUCGGAGGUCACUCCACCCCACUUUGAAUGGAUUAAAGAUGACAAGGCCCAACCGGGGGCAAGUUUGAGCCUUGCCAGUUAGAUAUUGGGUGCUAAGCAGAGCGGCUAAUGUCUAUGUUUUGUCACACGUAUUUUGCUCUGGCUGGAAUGGAAAAUGUUCAUUUGGUUACCCCAUGCAACCCACUGGGCAGCAUCUUACAAAAUUGAGAUUUUUUUUUUUUUAAUUUUGUGUUGCAGCUUGGCCUCCAGGGCUAUGAUGCAGCAAGUAGAUUCGCUAGGGCCACUCAGGGAAAGGGAACCCAGAAACCUGGCAUGCCAGCAAAAGGGUAAGAAUUUCUUACCAGUCAGACUUCUGGCCUCUCUCUGUGCGCGCCGACUGUAGGAAUGGUAAAAAUCACUGCCUCCUCUGCAAAGUUUCAAUUAAUGAAACAAAAGCCUUCAUGUGGCUAGUAUUAAGCUGUAGCAAAUCUGGUGUAAUUUGUGCUAUGAAUUUGUCUUUCUGUAUUUUUCUGUCAUAAAGAGAGGUACCUUAGGAUAGAAUAUGGGCUUAGGACCCGGUAAGCUUGCUGUUCAAGCCAGUCCGGCACACUGGUCAGUUACAAACUUUGCGGCAGGUCCCUGAAACAAACAAAAAACUGACUGAAGUUUUCCCCUUGUCUUAUGCCCUUGGAAGCUUGACCUUGUAACCAUAUGGUGGUAUACCUUCUUAGUCUCCAGCAUCCAGAGGACAGGAAUUUUGAGGUUCACGUCAUAGCCCUAAAAAUUGUCUUGAGCAGUUAAAAGCCUUUGCAAGCUCAAAAUUGGCUGCCUCUAGGGUCCUUCUAAGAAAAGAAAUGGAAACUGCCCAAUGCUGAAGCUUAGUAGCUAAGGUUUUGUCUUUUCACAAUGGCAGCCCACAUUCAGGGUUCAAUUCCCAGCUCAGGGAAUUAGUCCUUUCUAGUUUGAUAUCUACGUGAGCUUUGCCAUUUGUUGAUUCUCUGCCCCUCCUUGAACAACAUCUGGCUUUCCUUUUUGAAUUUUCCCUUCUCUAAGCUGCCUUUGUAGAUUCUAAAUCUUGUAAAAACUGCUUACCACCUGUUUGAAAAUACUUCGUACACCUGUGGUUAAGUCACAACCUUAGUUAAGGCUUAUUGGUUUCACCUGGGAGAUUACCUUUGGUAAAGUUUAAAGGCCAUAAAUAUUGGCUGUUUGUCCCGGCUAGAGUCUGGUAAUAAGAGAUUUUGUUAAAAGUUAGCUUAAUUAAAAGCAGAUAUCCAAGCUAUACGUAUAUUUAAAAGGUCUUUAUGUUUUUUUCUCUUCUUGGAUCUUAUGAAGAAAAAAGUAUUUUUUUUUACCAGGGGAAAACAAGACAAGGGGAAAAAAAAGGUAUUUUUUUUUUCACAGUCAACUGAAUUGUUUCUCUGUUUUGCCUUCUUGCCACUCUUGAUGCACAUGUGAGAGGACCUAAGAUAAUUUCUAAUAGCCUUGGACUCCUUGAGAAAAACAGAGGAGGUGCCACAGACCCCGUUUUAGGGAAAACAUCUGUUUUCCUCAUUAAGACCCAGGGAUUGGAAGCAGAUAGAUCUCUCUCAAAAGCUAAGGCUCUGUUCUGUUUUGCAUUGCGUUAUUUGACAUUUUUUACUUUUUAGAGUAUCAGAAAUUACUUCACAUUAUGAGUGAGCUUUGGUGUGUAAUAACUAGGUAGCAAAUAUACUUUUGGGCAUGGCCAGUGGCAGUUAUGGCGGGAUACUUGGCUCUCUGCACGUUUGGAUCAGAGAGGCGUGCUCUCAGCCACCUGGAAGGUAUGGAAACAUCCCCAUCCCCCACCCCACCACUGAGAUAAGGCUUCCGUGGGGGAUAGGCUGAUCACAGAAUGGGCUGAUUGACUCUGGGUUGUCUUGCAAUGAAACUCACAGUAAGAUCAUUCAUUGUCUUGUUCUGUAGUAUUUCUUUUUUGGGAAUUGAGGAUCCGGUAUAAAAAUAGGACCCUGAAUUUUGGGGGAUCUGUUUUGCUUUCCAUCUGUAUCUGCUUAUUAAGCCCUAGAAACGGCAUGUUUUCCUAACCCUGUUCCUCAAAGGACCCCACCCUGAAGCCAGUAAUCCAAUUAAGAAACUUAAAAACUGCCAAAUGAAAAAUCGUAACAACUACUGGAUCUUCUGCUGUCUGUAUAUUUAUAUGUGUUGUGUGUGUGACAUUUAUAUAUGAAGGAGCUCUGAUUAAUUGGCUUAAAAAUAAGCGCUUAAAUAUUUUGUCAGGAAAAUAAAAACUAAUGCCUUUUAGUUCACGUGACUUUAGUAAGCUUUGGAAGGACAGUUUAAAAAAUUAUUGGUAAAAUAAAGACAUUUGGUCUAAAUUAGGUCAGAUAAUUAGGUUUGCUAAACGCUUUAAGAUCAUGAACUGCUUCUUUGACUUUUGAAAAGUCAAAGAAGAGCUAUUCUUUGAGCUAUUAGAUUCUAGGUAAGGCCUGUGGACAUGCGGAGUUAGGGAUGCCCCCUCACUAUGAUGGAAGGAUAACUUAUCUGCAUUUUUGUCUCGUAUCUUAGGCUCCACACCUGCUACAAAAUUAAAAAUCACUCACUUAUCAGGUUUUUCAGCAACAACAAAAGUUUCUAAGAGUUAACAGUGUAACAUGCAAUGGAGACUACUACAGAAACGUUUUACAUGCAAGGUGUGUCAGGAAAGUGAAAUGUGUUUUUGGUAAAAGAUUAUAAGAAGGCAUGGAAAUGUGGGAGUUUUUUGGCUACACUAGUUUAGAGGGUUAAAGGUUUUAACUAAGAUAGCAUAAAGCUGAAGGUUUGAGCAAGUUGUGAUAGGUUUGUGAAAGAUUAAUCUGGUAAAAGAAAUUUUAUAUGUGAACAUAUUGGCUAAAGCUAAAGUGACAUUAUUCAGUUUUUCUGUAAAUUGAACAUUGGAAUAAAAGCACAAAAGGAUUUCCUUGGAGCACUGAUCUGCUCUUUAACAAAAAUUGUAAAGGGUCAUAAGAUUUAUAAGAAUCUUACCUUAGGGUCAAACAUUAAAAUUGAAGAGAUUUGUCUAAGGUUCUACUAAGAAUUGGGUUUGAUAUUAAUAGUACACUAAUGCAAAGGUGAAAUUUGGCUUUCUCUUGAACAAGAUUUUCCAUGAAUAAAGUUUUUUGCCUUUUUAAAAUUUUUGAGUUAUUUUGGCUAGAUGACUUAUGGUGGCCUAUGAUUCUCUUCUAUAAUAUCAAGUGUUUUAAACCUUUGAUAGUAACAAACUUUCCAAAACCAAAUUAUAAAUUAUGUCUUUUUCUGACCUAAUUAAUCUUAUAGCUAUUAGGUCCCCUAAAGUCCAAAAAUGACAUAUUUGGCUUAUUUGGUAUAAAAAUCAUACAGGAAGCAUUGUCAAAUAUGAAAUGGUGUUUGGCUUUCUUUGGGCUGUAUUUGUAUAAAUAUGUUAUUAGUAUAUGUUCCAAAAUUACUGGAAAGUCCUGUAAUUCUGAUAUGGCUUAGUGUAUGUAAUUAAUAAUUAUAAUUGUUGUGUAAAAUUGUAUGCCACAGAAGUAACCAAAAUUGUCAAAUGUGGCUUUAGUAGUGGCUGUCCUAAGACUUUUUGUCACCCACAAUUAUUGUCUUGUUUUGAUUCUCUUCAAAAGGUGGUUUAUAAUCAGCUAUAGGACUUUGACAGGUGCUCUUGAAUGCAGGUUUCUGAUACCUUUGGAGAUUGUGACAUUAGAAUCGAGGAAAAAACUUUCAGGACUCUCAUGGAGAGCUGAAAUGUUUAUGAAUAUCAAGCAGAACAGGUGUUAACUGCAUAGACUGAACUAAUAGAAGACUAAAAUAACCCUUCUAUGACUUUUUACUUAAAACAUUGCUGAUCUUUGUUUUUCAGAGCCAAGAAAACUUUUAUUUGUAACUUUAAAAAAUAAAAAUAAGAUGCAGUCUCUCUCUGUUGCCCAGGCUGGAGUGCAGUCGUGUGACCUGAGCUCA
This 4944-nucleotide long non-coding RNA is filed under the name Homo sapiens (human). Its description in RNAcentral is "HSALNT0267800". The record is from RNAcentral. Lineage: Eukaryota; Metazoa; Chordata; Mammalia; Primates; Hominidae.